UCGGGGAUCUGCUAAUGGUAGGCAGCCAGACUCUGAAUCUGGUAAUCUUGGUUCGAGUCCAAGUCCCCGAG
This 71-nucleotide transfer RNA is filed under the name bacterium. RNAcentral describes it as "tRNA-Gln". It matches the Rfam family "tRNA". From Rfam's summary of the family: Transfer RNA (tRNA) molecules are approximately 80 nucleotides in length. Their secondary structure includes four short double-helical elements and three loops (D, anti-codon, and T loops). The record is from RNAcentral.